UGGGGAAUUUUGGACGAAUUGGGCGAAAGCCUGAUCCAGCAAUGCCGCGUGUGUGAAGAAGGCCUUCGGGUUGUAAAGCACUUUUGUCCGGAAAGAAAUCCUUGGCUCUAAUACAGUCGGGGGAUGACGGUACCGGAAGAAUAAGCACCGGCUAACUACGUGCCAGCAGCCGCGGUAAUACGUAGGGUGCAAGCGUUAAUCGGAAUUACUGGGCGUAAAGCGUGCGCAGGCGGUUUGCUAAGACCGAUGUGAAAUCCCCGGGCUCAACCUGGGAACUGCAUUGGUGACUGGCAGGCUAGAGUAUGGCAGAGGGGGGUAGAAUUCCACGUGUAGCAGUGAAAUGCGUAGAGAUGUGGAGGAAUACCGAUGGCGAAGGCAGCCCCCUGGGCAAGUACUGACGCUCAUGCACGAAAGCGUGGGGAGCAAACGGAUUAAUACCCUGGGUAGUCCACGCCCUAAANGAUGUC
Molecule: ribosomal RNA, 467 nt
Filed under: uncultured bacterium
Lineage: Bacteria
Description: partial 16S ribosomal RNA
Rfam family: Bacterial small subunit ribosomal RNA
Source: RNAcentral